Molecule: ribosomal RNA, 253 nt
Filed under: uncultured bacterium
Lineage: Bacteria
Description: partial 16S ribosomal RNA
Rfam family: Bacterial small subunit ribosomal RNA
Source: RNAcentral
UACGGGGGGGGCAAGCGUUGUUCGGAAUUACUGGGCGUAAAGGGCUCGUAGGCGGCCAACUAAGUCGGAUGUGAAAUCCCCAGGCUUAACCUGGGAACUGCAUCCGAUACUGGAUGGCUUGAAUUCGGGAGAGGGAUGCAGAAUUCCAGGUGUAGCGGUGAAAUGCGUAGAGAUGUGGAGGAACACCGAUGGCGAAGGCAGCCUCCUGGGCCAACACUGACGCUCAUGCACGAAAGCGUGGGGAGCAAACAGG